GCAUUGGUGGUAUCGUGGUGAGCAUAGCUGCCUUCCAAGCAGUUGACCCGGGUUCGAUUCUCGGCCAAUGCA
RNAcentral lists this transfer RNA (72 nucleotides) under Gadus morhua (Atlantic cod). RNAcentral describes it as "tRNA-Gly (TCC) (tRNA-Gly-TCC-16-1)". It matches the Rfam family "tRNA". From Rfam's summary of the family: Transfer RNA (tRNA) molecules are approximately 80 nucleotides in length. Lineage: Eukaryota; Metazoa; Chordata; Actinopteri; Gadiformes; Gadidae. The record is from RNAcentral.